UACGAAGGGGGCUAGCGUUGCUCGGAAUUACUGGGCGUCAAGGGAGCGUAGGCGGACAUUUAAGUCAGGGGUGAAAUCCCAGAGCUCAACUCUGGAACUGCCUUUGAUACUGGGUGUCUUGAGUGUGAGAGAGGUAUGUGGAACUCCGAGUGUAGAGGUGAAAUUCGUAGAUAUUCGGAAGAACACCAGUGGCGAAGGCGACAUACUGGCUCAUUACUGACACUGAGGCUCGAAAGCGUGGGGAGCAAACAGG
This 253-nucleotide ribosomal RNA is filed under the name uncultured bacterium. RNAcentral's name for it is "partial 16S ribosomal RNA". It matches the Rfam family "Bacterial small subunit ribosomal RNA", at positions 524 to 776 of the family's 1533-position model. The record is from RNAcentral.